AAGAAAACCCAAACAAAAUUAAAACACACAUGAUAAACAAAUUAUACAAAAACCAAACAAAGAGGAUUCUAGAAUCAGUGAGACACCGACCCUUACACCCAAUCAAUUCCUUUGUUUUUUCCCCCAACCCAAAAAUAUCUAUCAAUGUUCAAAACUGACAAUUUCACAAAACCAAGAAGGAGCGUCCAAAAAAGAUAGAUCAAACGUCAAAAGAAAGAAACUCAUUUCCCUCAUUCUUCAAACGUUCCCUUCUCAAUCAAUCCAGUUCUAUCGACUCCCCAUCGUUGUCUUGGGAUCCACAGACGAAAAUGCUUUCCCCUCCAGGGACUAAAUUGACGGCAAAAGGAAAUUUGAGGGCAAAAAGUAUGAAUUUAAAGACAAAACGAGUCAACAUGCGAAAUAGGAAAGAAGUGGUGCCAAAAAUACAAAGUGUGAAAGACUUGGGAAAAAAAUUCAAAGAAGAGAUUUAUGAACAUAAGACUUUAUUUAAAUUUGAAUUUUAUUUUUAGGAUUUAGGAUUAUUAUGAUAUUGUUUAGAUUUAAUUUCAAAUUAUAUCUUUUAUUAUCUUCUAGUGUUUAAAUAGGAACAAAAUAUGUUUUUAUGUAUUAUAAAUAAGGGAUAGAGUGACAUGAAUAUUCAUUCA
This is a long non-coding RNA of Gossypium arboreum, 644 nucleotides long. RefSeq lists it as uncharacterized. The transcript is spliced from 2 exons. NCBI's taxonomy places the organism in Eukaryota, Viridiplantae, Streptophyta, Magnoliopsida, Malvales, Malvaceae. The record is from RefSeq and is a predicted model, not a curated record.